UGGCGAACGGGUGAGUAACACGUGGGUAACCUGCCCAUCAGAAGGGGAUAACACUUGGAAACAGGUGCUAAUACCGUAUAACACUAUUUUCCGCAUGGAAAAAAGUUGAAAGGCGCUUUUGCGUCACUGAUGGAUGGACCCGCGGUGCAUUAGCUAGUUGGUGAGGUAACGGCUCACCAAGGCAACGAUGCAUAGCCGACCUGAGAGGGUGAUCGGCCACACUGGGACUGAGACACGGCCCAGACUCCUACGGGAGGCAGCAGUAGGGAAUCUUCGGCAAUGGACGAAAGUCUGACCGAGCAACGCCGCGUGAGUGAAGAAGGUUUUCGGAUCGUAAAACUCUGUUGUUAGAGAAGAACAAGGAUGAGAGUAAAAUGUUCAUCCCUUGACGUAUCUACCAG
This 401-nucleotide ribosomal RNA is filed under the name Enterococcus casseliflavus. Its description in RNAcentral is "bacterial SSU rRNA". It matches the Rfam family "Bacterial small subunit ribosomal RNA", at positions 96 to 485 of the family's 1533-position model. The record is from RNAcentral. Lineage: Bacteria; Bacillati; Bacillota; Bacilli; Lactobacillales; Enterococcaceae.